Molecule: transfer RNA, 73 nt
Filed under: Stegodyphus mimosarum
Lineage: Eukaryota; Metazoa; Arthropoda; Arachnida; Araneae; Eresidae
Rfam family: tRNA
About the family: Transfer RNA (tRNA) molecules are approximately 80 nucleotides in length. Their secondary structure includes four short double-helical elements and three loops (D, anti-codon, and T loops).
Source: Rfam by way of RNAcentral
GUCUUCGUGGUGUAGUGGUCAGCACGCUCGACGCGUAACCGAAAUAUCCGUGGUUCGAUUCCCAGCGAAGGCG